RNAcentral lists this unclassified non-coding RNA (353 nucleotides) under Hevea brasiliensis (rubber tree). The record is from RNAcentral. Lineage: Eukaryota; Viridiplantae; Streptophyta; Magnoliopsida; Malpighiales; Euphorbiaceae.
UUAUCUUCAAAAACCUCAAGUAAGGGGUCGCCCAAAUUCCCGGUUCCUCACAGCAACUGUUCUUGGAGUGCAGCAAGGUUGGUGUUUUAGUUGCUUAUCUAUUUCUGUGUUGCCUUUGUCUUUUAUAUUUGAAUAUAAUCAUUCGAAAAAUUGUGUUAGCAGUCCCAAUAUCCUACAUUCAAGGUGAAGGGGCUGUAAAAUUGGAUCUUAAAAUUGAAUGUAAAAUCGUGAGAUUGUACAACUUACUAAAAAAUACCUUAAAAAAUAUAUAAUCAUAUUUACAUAAAUACAUAAAUAAAGUUUCAUGUAAAUUUAAUAUAAGAAGUUAUAAAAAAGCUUUCUAAUAUAUUUUU